UGUGAGGGUUUUAUGUGUAAGCUCGAUAUAAAAAUAAAUAAAUAAAUAAAUAAAGGAAAUGUUUACUUUUACAAGUUUUCAUAUUCAGGAAGGUUGAAUAUGAAACCUUCCUGAACCUUCCUUCGUUUUGUUUAUGUUCGAAACAAAACAAAGCCGUUUUGUUUCGAACAUAAUUGAAAAACGUUAACGAGAAACUGGUUGUGCCUCAGUGGGAGGAUAAUUUGUCAUUGCAGGAAGUCGGCGACACACUGGCUCGGUUUCACUCAAACGUCCGUCGUGGUGUUUUUCAUUUAAGAAGAUUUGUUGCACUCGUGGCUUGUGUCUGACGGUAAUCUGGCAGGAAGGCGGCAGAUUAACGUCGUCAAAGAAACUGAAGAUAGGAGUCGAAUCUGAGACCAGGAAUGUGAAUAAGGUGCUGCGUUUCACUUUUCCGAAACAAGAAGAACGCCAAAGUCCACCAACUUACGCCGGUCUGAUAAAGGCAUCCGGGCAACAAAUGCUGAUCUGACAUGGAUUUACUUUCGCGCGUCGCUCCGGGGAACUAUUAUCAGAGGGUGUACCAGAAGCUCGGAGAGCCUCGCGUUCAUUGACAGAUCUGGAUCCAGCGCGGGUCUGAGUGUGUCCUCUUACGGCCUUCGCUUC
Molecule: long non-coding RNA, 642 nt
Organism: Poeciliopsis prolifica (blackstripe livebearer)
Lineage: Eukaryota; Metazoa; Chordata; Actinopteri; Cyprinodontiformes; Poeciliidae
Exons: 3
Source: RefSeq, a predicted model, not a curated record